Molecule: ribosomal RNA, 259 nt
Filed under: uncultured bacterium
Lineage: Bacteria
Description: partial 16S ribosomal RNA
Rfam family: Bacterial small subunit ribosomal RNA
Source: RNAcentral
UGGCGGACGGGUGAGUAACGCGUGGGUAACCUGCCUCACACAGGGGGAUAACAGUUGGAAACGGCUGCUAAUACCGCAUAAGCGCACAGUACCGCAUGGUACAGUGUGAAAAACUCCGGUGGUGUGAGAUGGACCCGCGUCUGAUUAGCUAGUUGGCAGGGCAACGGCCUACCAAGGCGACGAUCAGUAGCCGACCUGAGAGGGUGACCGGCCACAUUGGGACUGAGACACGGCCCAAACUCCUACGGGAGGCAGCAUG